Molecule: non-coding RNA, 349 nt
Organism: Marmota flaviventris (yellow-bellied marmot)
Lineage: Eukaryota; Metazoa; Chordata; Mammalia; Rodentia; Sciuridae
Source: RefSeq, a predicted model, not a curated record
CAAUGAUGCCCUCACGCUGAGAGCUUGAUGAGGACCUGGAUUCUCAUCCCAACACGUUUUCAUUGCCUGAUCCUCAACCAGCCAUCAGCUUCACCGAAGAGAAGCCUGCUUUGGUUUCUGAUCUGAUCACCACAAUCUGAACAGGGGACAGGAAUUGGAAACAAGCAAGGCCAGCCACCAGACCACCGCAUUGGCGGUGGGAGAUGGAAGAAGGCACAUCACGGAGGAGACCAGCCAGGAGCUGCAAAGUACAAACUCAAGGUCGUUGAGCUUGCGCAGGGCGGCGUGGCGGGGCAGCCCCUGGAUGUCGCGGAAGAGGUCCUGCUCCUCCAGCUCAAACAGGCGCCGG